RNAcentral lists this long non-coding RNA (335 nucleotides) under Crocodylus porosus (Australian saltwater crocodile). Its description in RNAcentral is "lncRNA (ENSCPRG00005007886.1)". The record is from RNAcentral. Lineage: Eukaryota; Metazoa; Chordata; Crocodylia; Crocodylidae.
GAUAACCGAAAGUAAAAAUAACCCCAUUACACGCCUGAGGAGGAUGUGGAGAAGAAAGAAACCCCUCGGAAGGGAGAAGAUGAAAGACAGAAACCGAAAGGCGAGAGAGAGGCAGUGAGAGGAGGGGGAAAAAGAAAAGACGAAAAGGCAUCUUUUUGAAACUGGAAUUAAACAUGAGCUGGGAGGACAGGCCUGGCCUUAAGGAAGCAUUCUUUAUAGACUUGGAUCAAGCGUGGGUCCUGUUUUUAAGGCAAUACUCUGCUCAAGCCAUCUGUGGACCUGGGGAAGCUCAUCUGGAAUUCCCUGCAUUGGGAUAUUGGCUUCCUAGGGAAUGA